AAUAGGUUUUGGCGGCUGGGCAACUCCUGACCUACAAGCUUGUGCCCUUUUCCUGGAGGCUUAGCAGACUGUGCUGAUGAACCAAAGGUUAGACAGAGCUGUGACUGUUGCAAGACUCCUGCCACCCACAGCUCAGCGAAACCCCAGGUACCACUGCAGAGCAACCGGCCAGCAGAGCUGACAGGACAUGGAGGACGGAGGGAGGCACUGGCUCACCAGGGACCCAGCUCCUCCUCAUCAGCCUGCAAAUGGAUCUCUAGGCGCCUUGUUCUUUCCUUUGUGCUUCCGAAAGCGUGACAGAACAGUACGGGGCAGGGGUGGGGUGCAGCUAUAAACAGUCUGAGGGACAGCUAUAGAGGGAGAGCCAUAAACAACAGUGGAGUGGGGACAGUUUUUCAUUUGGCUGAUGGACUUAAUAGUCAAUCGAAAAAUUACAUACCUCACAAAUAAUUAAAAUUGAUUUUUCCAUUAUAUUUUUGAUUGUGGGCUAAGGUUGCUUCAUUGGCAUUUUCAAGAUAAACUAUUUUCCUGCUGUUUUUAAAAUUGGCGUGCCAAGAAAAUCGUUAGGCUAGCAAAAUGGAGUCCAUGCAAAUCCUUUAGGACAAUAGCGGCAAAAAUGCUAUUAUUGCUUUUAAUUUGCUACCAUUAAGAAAUUUCUCCUAAGUAGAAAUGAAAAGUUAAGACAAGUAUAGUUUUUCACAUUAUGAGUGUCCAAUAUUUUAGAAAUUAUUGUGCUUGUAUUGUAUACUGUCCUUGUGUUAUGUCACACGACAUACUAGGAGAUGAUUAUUGAGAAAUGUGCAGAAUAAAUCUUAUCUAGAGAGAAAUUUGAAGAUGAAACGGAGUAUCCUGGAUGGAGAGUGGGACUAGAUGACUGCUGAGAUGUUUCCCGACCACAGGAUUUGAAGACCAGAAUGUGGAACGAUGAAAAGGAAUCACUGAACUAAGACUAGCUUCUGGCCUUGAGUGACUGCCUACUAAAUACGUAAACUUGGGCAAAUCCUUUGCUCUCUCUGAUUUCAGUUUCUUCACGUGCAGAAUGAGGAUGGUUCUGUUCAGGUCCUUCACUGAGCCCAUAGGCCUCAGGGGAAGCCGACCUCACCUCCCUCCACUGGGGGCCUGAUGGCCUCAGGAGUUUCUGGAAGUUUCCUGGAGUUAUUAUUCUAAUUGAGAUCUAGAAUUCCUGCCGCUAUGUUACUACCUGAGGAUGAAGUCGACAAAGGAACACAGUGCCAAGGGAAAAUGGGCUGGAGGCCACCGAUGGGGUCAACCCUGAAGCUUGCUCUACCCCUGCACUUGUAGUUUGAAAGUGAAAGUAAUUUUUUCCCUUGUUGAUUAAACCAUUUGGAGUUGGGUUUAUUGUUACCUACAGUUGAAGGAACUCUAAGUACCUUACAGAUGAGAAAAUGUAAAUAAAAUUCUGAAAAUUCAGUGCUGCAAGGUGUUAACAUUCUCUUGUAUCACUAUUGUAAAAUAUCACGAUUCCGCUGAGUAAUAUCCUUCUUGAUAUGAGGAGGCCAAGUCAUCUUUGGGAGGUGCCUCACAGAGUUGCUGGUUUCGUGUUUGAAUCCCCUUGGUACUAUUCCUGCUAAGUGACUAUUCAGUCCCUGGUGGAACUCUGCCAGUCAUGGGGACAUCACGGCUGCCUGAGGCCGCACGGAUGACUGAGUCACUCAGCAUGUUACGGUGCAGUCAUCCCAGCAUCCCAUAUUUGUACCUGCUUUGUGCUGAGCUCAUCUGAAGCCAGAGAGAAAGUGGGGAGAUCUGGGGAGGUGAAUUUGUUGCUAUUGGCCCGGAUUUUUGCCACAUGGAAAUUGCUGAGCUGGAGCACGUGAACCACGGCGUGACGGUGGUCUGGUGGCUCCUCCCUUCCUUCUCCUUGCUGGCGGUCUCUCUGCAGGGCCCUGAGGAAGCCACAGCUGCCCUCUGGAAGGACAAUAGCUAUCUGUCUGGUCUGCGUCUGAG
Equus caballus (horse) is the source of this 1965-nucleotide long non-coding RNA. RefSeq lists it as uncharacterized. Lineage: Eukaryota; Metazoa; Chordata; Mammalia; Perissodactyla; Equidae. The record is from RefSeq and is a predicted model, not a curated record.